UAGGGAAUUUUGUCCAAUGGGCGCAAGCCUGAGACAGCAACGCCGCGUGUGGGAUGAAGGCCCUCGGGUCGUAAACCACUGUCAGAGGGGAAGAACGGGCCGACGGCCAAUACCCGUCGGUCGUGACGGUACCCUCAGAGGAAGGUCCGGCUAACUCCGUGCCAGCAGCCGCGGUAAUACGGAGGGACCAAGCGUUGUUCGGAAUUACUGGGCGUAAAGCGCGUGUAGGCGGUUGGGUAAGUCGAAUGUGAAAGCCCAGGGCUCAACCCUGGAAUUGCAUCCGAAACUGCCCAGCUAGAGUCCCGGAGAGGAAGGCAGAAUUCCCAGUGUAGGGGUGAAAUCCGUAGAUAUUGGGAGGAAUACCAGUGGCGAAGGCGGCCUUCUGGACGGUGACUGACGCUGAGACGCGAAAGCGUGGGGAGCAAACAGGAUUAGAUACCCCCGUAGUCC
This 450-nucleotide ribosomal RNA is filed under the name uncultured prokaryote. RNAcentral's name for it is "bacterial SSU rRNA". It matches the Rfam family "Bacterial small subunit ribosomal RNA", at positions 355 to 796 of the family's 1533-position model. The record is from RNAcentral.